AAAUUCCAAUCUUAGUAAAUAUAUGCAAUAAUUAAAACAAAAAGAUAUUACAUGCCACACAUAUGCCAUUAAGCAAUGAGUAUAUGUGUCUUGGUGUCGUGGGGCAUUACUCUAAUAAUUAACAUAUAUUCCUUCUAAAUGUUUCUAAAGUAAAAAUUUAAAAAGUGAAAAUUAAAUUAAACACAUCCAUAUGAAGGAAGACACCAUUUACAAUCCAUGAGGUAAUAGCAAGGAUGUCUCCUUUUCUUGGCAUCUAAUGUCACCUGAUGAAUCUGCUGACUUACUCCUUCCGAUGCUUUCUAAACUUUCUAAACAAAUGUUGAAGCUCCGAAUGAAGGGCAAUGUGCAAGAAACCCAACCAAAACAUUCCGCCAGUCAGCCAAGAGAAAGUUGUUAUUUGAUAUCUGUAGCUAUUAACUUCUUCAUCAUCAUUGCCCGAAAGAAAUAAACUCCAUGUUACGCUUAUGAUCGAAUAAAAUAUGAAGCAGAAGAAGCUCAAACCAAUGACACAAAUGCCAUAUCCAAAGGAAGGUGCUAAAACUGCAUAAGCGCCUGUCACAAAUGUAAUCACCAUUGCUACCAUAGCAUAGAAGAGGAAGCUGAAGGCACAUCUUAUCAACCAAUAGUAUCUUUCCAGAUAUCCUAACAUCACCAAUAUAAAGUGGAUAAAGACACAAGAAGUAGAUAAAACCAUAGCUAUA
Molecule: unclassified non-coding RNA, 701 nt
Filed under: Hevea brasiliensis (rubber tree)
Lineage: Eukaryota; Viridiplantae; Streptophyta; Magnoliopsida; Malpighiales; Euphorbiaceae
Source: RNAcentral